Molecule: ribosomal RNA, 162 nt
Filed under: Caleana minor
Lineage: Eukaryota; Viridiplantae; Streptophyta; Magnoliopsida; Asparagales; Orchidaceae
Description: 5.8S ribosomal RNA
Rfam family: 5.8S ribosomal RNA
About the family: 5.8S ribosomal RNA (5.8S rRNA) is a component of the large subunit of the eukaryotic ribosome. It is transcribed by RNA polymerase I as part of the 45S precursor that also contains 18S and 28S rRNA.
Source: RNAcentral
UAUGACUCUCGGCAAUGGAUAUCUUGGCUCUUGCCUCGAUGAAGAACGCAACGAAAUGCGAUACGUGGUGCGAAUUGCAGAAUCCCGUGAACCAUCGAGUUUUUGAACGCAAGUUGCGCCUGAGGCCAACUGGCCAAGGGCACGUUCGCCUGGGCGUCAUGC